This is a long non-coding RNA of Ananas comosus (pineapple), 3566 nucleotides long. RefSeq lists it as uncharacterized. NCBI's taxonomy places the organism in Eukaryota, Viridiplantae, Streptophyta, Magnoliopsida, Poales, Bromeliaceae. The transcript is spliced from 2 exons. The record is from RefSeq and is a predicted model, not a curated record.
UCCUCGCUCCACACUCUCAUUAGUUUAAGUGUGAGGCUCUCGGAAGAGCACAAGAAGAGGAUCGGGUGUUUGUUGGGGAGGGGAAAGGGUUUGCCUCCUCCUUGUGCUCUUCUCUCUCUACUCGACAGAGCCGAUGAUCAUCUUCUUCGUCAAACGCCAAAACCCUAACCCUCUCUAUCUCUCUCUAGAGAUAGAUAGAUAGAUAGAUCGAUCGAUCGAUGGGCAAAGAGGCGAUGAUGGUUUCUGAGCCCUACUCUCAAGCAAACUACUAAUGGUGAUAGUUUUUUUUGUAAUUUAUUCUAUUCGUUUUUGAGUCGCCAUUUUACUAGGCUUUUAUUUAUUUAUUUAUUCAUUUGGUUUUGCUGAUGUUGGUAUUGGCUUUUGAUGUCUUAGGGUUUCUGUUAUUUUCAUUCUAAUUUUUUUUGUUAAAUAUUUGUUAAUAUCUCGAAUUUCUCGAGCCCAUUGAAGAGUAGCCGCAAAAUGUUUGUGGCAAACGCAGGCACAAAGCAGAACAGGUAAUUUUAUACUUAUGCGUGUAGAGCUACUAGGCUUCUAGAGGUAUAAAGGAGUUGAUGCUUUCGACUUUUUGGCCUUUGGAUUAAGGAUUGUAGGGUUAGGAUUUAGUGGUCAAUCUAGGAUUUAGCGGUCUCUCUAGAGAAAUAAUAUUAAUCCAAAUGUUAGAAAUGGUCGAAAGGGUUGAAUCGAAGGUUAAUAAAUUGGAAGCACCACCUAUGUGGUGUUUCCGGAAGCAUCAUCGUCGGACUCUUCUUAUGAAUGCUUCUCCGGCGGUGGUUUAGUGCUCGAAUUUUACAGCAUUGGAGUGAAGAGUAAAAGGGCUUUUGAAACUUUUGACUGUGGCUAAAAACAUCUUGUUUUUAUGCUAUAGAAUGUCCAAAAAAAUUAAAAAUGUUUUCAAUUUUUUUUUCUCCUUUUAUCUUGUAAAAUUGGGGUUGCAAUCUCCAGCAUCAGCAAGAGCUACGUCCAAAUUGACCACAAUUUUAUAAGAGGUAAACCUUCCUACCUACUUACCUUCUAAAUGAAAAAAGUUAUAUAAAUUUUCUUCUAUAUUGGGGGUAAUCCUACCAUGAUAAAAUUUGUGGAUACAGUUUUCAAUUGUGUGCAACUAAACAAAUUAUUUAUGGUUGUAGCGUUGUCUACUGUAUUCAACCAAACAAGCUACAUUUAGUUGUAAUUGUUUCAUUGUCAACUACAGGAAAUUCUAACUACACUGUAAUUACAAUUGCAUCCGACCAAAUGUCCACUUUACAAUAAAAAGAGUUCGGAGCGGAAGCAUGUGGAGCUAUUUAUCUCUGUUUUUAGAUAGGACCAAUAAAAAUCAAUUUUGAGUUAGAGCUAGCCCCACAACACAAAUGGAGUUGUAAUUCGACAAGUCCAUUGUCUAAGUGCCAACCUUUUUAUACUCUAAACAGGGAGGUAGUUUUUAUGUAGCAGCUACACCGUAUCAUUUAUGUCCAAGCCAAUCACAUCUCUUCUUUUGAGAUAAAAGUGCAACAAAACUAUUUUUCUCAUGUUAUUACUCUAGAAAACAAGCACAAUAUUUUCCCAUUGCACUUUAGGGUAGUACUCUUGGUCAACACAUUUCCUAACUAGGCCUUAAAGGUAGGCUGGUUAAGCAAUCUUCUCAAAAUAGGUCAAUUUGGCCAUGUUUUAGAUAAGUUCUAUACAUUUUUACCUACAAUUCAACUAAGGGUGCCUCUUCACCGGAGGAUUGGGUGUUCUUCGGAAGGGUUUGCCGCCUGCUACGCUCUCCCUUUUUAUCUCUUCUAGAACCGAUGACUCUAGUUUCAAAAUGCAAAACCCCUUCCUAGGGACCAAGUCGGAAUAUUGUUAAAGUACAGAGGCUAGGCUAUCCAUGCAUUUUACCCAUACAAAUUAAGUAUUGAUGAUGAUCAAUGAGACCAUCAUCUUGCUUUUGGACAACUGAUACUGGUGAUGGCUUAUCAGAGAUCCAAAAUCUCUCUAACAAAAUUCUCUUUAUUCAUCCGUUCUAUCUUUUGCACUUUUGGUGUGCUGCCAUUUUAUUGAGGAUUUUCUCCUUUCUUUUUUUCUCAACCAUAUAUUGAGAUUUUCUUUUUUCUUUUACGAUUUCGUUUAGUUUACGUUUUGUCUUUUAAUAAAGUUUCUUUUAGUUUUUGAUCUUGAUGGAGUUUGGUUUGCUGCUGUGAUGUUGGACUUGCCUCUACGGAAGCCGACCCCCUCUAUUGGGAGCUCCAUACAAAAGUUUUAGCAAACUGUAUGGUGAUUCCCCUUUUCUUUCAUAAUCCGUUUUCAAAGAGGUAAUGAUGUCGGAUUCCUUCCCCUAGCUGGCGUUUACUAGUGAUGCAAAUGGAUCUGGGUUGAUAGAGCUCCCUAUUACGGACUUAAGCUAGGGAAAUCUUGGAGAAAAUUCCUAAGUCCUAGCAUCCCGCCCAAUCCUGGGUCCCAAAAAUAAAAACCCCCCCAAAAAAAAAACUUGUCCCAAAUCUGCCCUGAUCCGGUGAGCAAAUGGAGUGGUAGGCAGGGCCCCUUCCUUCCCUUGAUCGGUCCCAAUAUGCCAAAUACUCGCUUUUGCCCCAAAUGAAGUGUUAAGUGGGGGUAAAAGAUAAAGAUAAAAAUAGAUCUGCCCUGACGCGCCAAGGAACUGCGGUGUGAGGUGGGGGACCCCUCGCGCGUCCGGAUCUGCCCCGGUUGCACCCCUAGCAUUUUCUGAUCCUGUAUGAAAUUGCUGUUACGAUGAAGACUUUCUCGCCAUCUAAGAGGAGGGCCUGGUAGAAGUUUCGUCUUCUAUGAGAUCUGAAUACUUCUCUAUCCUCUUACUGUGAAAUUCUAAAAUGAAAGCAUUUGACGGCAACUCGGUAGCGCAGCUUGGAUGGCACCAUGGCAAAUGCUGCAGCCAUGCAUGGGGAGUGGAGAGGAGGAUCUCUCUUUCUAGUAAAUGAAAGGCGAUGAAGACUGGCGAUUGAUCAGGUUAUGAUUUAUCAGAGAUCCAGAACCUCUCUAUCCUGCAACGAAAUUCUCCGGUAUAGCCGUAACAUCUUGUGGUUUCUCAAUGCUGGGAUGAGGAGGCAGUUUGGAUGGCCCAGUGGCGGCAACUGCUUUAGCUAUUCGCUCCGUGCUUUUCCAAACAGCUCUUAACUGAACAGCGCGACACCCUGCUCGGAAAGAAAUGGGUGUGGACAGGAUGUGAGAUGAGAGGAUUAGGCGCUCUUUGUUUGUCUUUUCUUUUCUGCGAAGGUUGCAUUUGGUGUUUUGAUCUUGUUAUGUUUGAGGUUUUUAUGCUGCAGUGUUUGAUCUUGUUAGUCUCAGCCGCCGGGUGUGGAUGUCGCCCGCACUCUCUGUGGUAGUGCACCAGAAACCAUUGAGCAUCUACUGUUUGUGAUAUAAUUCCUUGUUGUCCAAGUGCGCACAUUAUUGGAGAUGAAGAUGAUGCUGCAAAAUAAGUAUAGGUCUCUUAAGAUUAUUUGAAUUACUUGAAGCUUAAAUAUUUCUCUUUGCUAUAACUUGCCAAAAGUGGCAUGCACCAAUGGGACAGUUUUGAGUGUUCUACCUAGUGAAUCUUUACUAGA